ACGAUGAAGAGUUUGAUCCUGGCUCAGGAUGAACGCUAGCGGCAGGCUUAACACAUGCAAGUCGAGGGGUAACAGGGUAGCUUGCUAUUGCUGACGACCGGCGCACGGGUGCGUAACGCGUAUACAAUCUACCUUAUACUGGGGUAUAGCCUUUAGAAAUGAAGAUUAACCCCCCAUAGUCUCUUUUAGUGGCAUCACUUUUAGAGUAAAGGUUACGGUAUAAGAUGAGUAUGCGUUCUAUUAGUUUGUUGGUAAGGUAACGGCUUACCAAGACUACGAUAGAUAGGGGCCCUGAGAGGGGGAUCCCCCACACUGGUACUGAGACACGGACCAGACUCCUACGGGAGGCAGCAGUGAGGAAUAUUGGACAAUGGAGGCAACUCUGAUCCAGCCAUGCCGCGUGUAGGAUGACUGCCCUAUGGGUUGUAAACUACUUUUAUACAGGAAGAAACACCUCUACGUGUAGAGGCUUGACGGUACUGUAAGAAUAAGGAUCGGCUAACUCCGUGCCAGCAGCCGCGGUAAUACGGAGGAUCCAAGCGUUAUCCGGAAUCAUUGGGUUUAAAGGGUCCGUAGGUGGAUAAUUAAGUCAGAGGUGAAAUCUUGCAGCUCAACUGUAAAAUUGCCUUUGAUACUGGUUAUCUUGAGUUAUUAUGAAGUAGUUAGAAUAUGUAGUGUAGCGGUGAAAUGCAUAGAUAUUACAUAGAAUACCAAUUGCGAAGGCAGAUUACUAAUAAUCAACUGACACUGAUGGACGAAAGCGUGGGUAGCGAACAGGAUUAGAUACCCUGGUAGUCCACGCCGUAAACGAUGGUUACUAGCUGUUUGGACUUCGGUCUGAGUGGCUAAGCGAAAGUGAUAAGUAACCCACCUGGGGAGUACGUUCGCAAGAAUGAAACUCAAAGGAAUUGACGGGGGCCCGCACAAGCGGUGGAGCAUGUGGUUUAAUUCGAUGAUACGCGAGGAACCUUACCAGGGCUUAAAUGUAAGUUGCAUUAGUUAGAGAUAGCUAUUUCUUCGGACCACUUACAAGGUGCUGCAUGGUUGUCGUCAGCUCGUGCCGUGAGGUGUCAGGUUAAGUCCUAUAACGAGCGCAACCCCUGUUGUUAGUUGCCAGCGAGUCAUGUCGGGAACUCUAACAAGACUGCCAGUGCAAACUGUGAGGAAGGUGGGGAUGACGUCAAAUCAUCACGGCCCUUACGUCCUGGGCUACACACGUGCUACAAUGGUAGGGACAGAGAGCAGCCACUACGCGAGUAGGAGCGAAUCUAUAAACCCUAUCACAGUUCGGAUCGGAGUCUGCAACUCGACUCCGUGAAGCUGGAAUCGCUAGUAAUCGGAUAUCAGCCAUGAUCCGGUGAAUACGUUCCCGGGCCUUGUACACACCGCCCGUCAAGCCAUGGAAGUUGGAAGUGCCUGAAGUCCGUCACCGCAAGGAGCGGCCUAGGGUAAAGUCGAUAACUAGGGCUAAGUCGUAACAAGGUAGCCGUACCGGAAGGUGCGGCUGGAACACCUCCUUU
RNAcentral lists this ribosomal RNA (1520 nucleotides) under Flavobacteriaceae bacterium. RNAcentral describes it as "bacterial SSU rRNA". It matches the Rfam family "Bacterial small subunit ribosomal RNA". Lineage: Bacteria; Pseudomonadati; Bacteroidota; Flavobacteriia; Flavobacteriales; Flavobacteriaceae. The record is from RNAcentral.